RNAcentral lists this ribosomal RNA (406 nucleotides) under uncultured bacterium. RNAcentral describes it as "partial 16S ribosomal RNA". It matches the Rfam family "Bacterial small subunit ribosomal RNA", at positions 28 to 526 of the family's 1533-position model. The record is from RNAcentral.
GAUGAACGCUGACAGCAUGCUUAUCACAUCAGCAAUUGAUUGGUGGCGGACGGGUGAGUAAGGCGUAAAGAACUUACAUCACAGUUAGGGACAACAUAUGGACACGAAUGCUAAUACCUAAUACUGUGAGAGAGCUUUGCGUACCAUUAGCUAGUUGGAGAGGUAACGGCUCACCAAGGCGAGGAUGGGUAGCCGGCCUGAGAGGGUGAUCGGGCACAGAGUGACAGGGGCACGGGCCUUAGUCCUACGGGAGGCAGGAGUGGGGAAUAUUUGACAAUGGGCCAAAGUCUGAUCCAGGAAUUCUGGUUGCACGAUGAAGUUUUCGGAAUGUAAAGUGCUUUCAGUUGGGAAGCGGUACCAACAGAAGAAGUGACGGCUAAAUACGUGCCAGCAGCCGCGGUAAUUC